GUGAACUUCCUUCUGACUAACAAACAUUGAGGCUGACAGAUGCAGUACCGUACAAUACAUCAUGGUUGUACCUCGUUAGAAUCAGCUGAUAUUCUGAGGAACUGGGCCUCUUUUGACACCCAAUGGCUAUCUAGUUUCAGUUGACAGCAUCCUCGCUGGCCAAGGAGAGAUCAGGGACUUCAUCCAGACCAAAUGGCUCCUUAUAAAGUCUCUCUGUGGAGUCCUUCUGUCAUUGGUAUUCUGUGGGAGAGCUGCUCGACCGCAGGGAGGAUAUGGUGGGCUGUGUACGAUACGCUGUGCGUUCACUGCUGAUGAGUUGAUGAUGGUCACAGAGUUAAACAGAGUGUGAAAACACCAUCUCCCCUGGACGGACGUGACGGCCAUCUUAACUUGUCCAGCACAGCACAGGUAGUAGAGUCAAUGGGGAAAUUGCUGGAGACCUACUGUGGCCCUUCUCUCAUUUGCACACUGACAGUAUGAUCCCAUGUUUUGUAGUGGUCUUUAGUUGUAGGCGUAAGCCGACAUAUUACAUAAAGUAUUAACCAAG
Molecule: non-coding RNA, 547 nt
Organism: Salmo salar (Atlantic salmon)
Lineage: Eukaryota; Metazoa; Chordata; Actinopteri; Salmoniformes; Salmonidae
Source: RefSeq, a predicted model, not a curated record